RNAcentral lists this ribosomal RNA (469 nucleotides) under uncultured bacterium. Its description in RNAcentral is "bacterial SSU rRNA". It matches the Rfam family "Bacterial small subunit ribosomal RNA", at positions 32 to 524 of the family's 1533-position model. The record is from RNAcentral.
AAUCAACGCUGGCGGCGCGCUUAACACAUGCAAGUCGAACGAGAAAGCCGGGGCAACCUGGUGAGUAAAGUGGCGUACGGGUGAGUAACACGUGGAUCAUCUACCCUGGAGUGGGGAAUAACGCUGGGAAACCGGCGCUAAUACCGCAUAAUCCCGAGAGGGCAAAGGAAGCAAUUCCGUUUCAGGAGGAGUCUGCGGCCGAUUAGCUUGUUGGCAGGGUAAAAGCCUACCAAGGCANCGAUCGGUAGCCGGCCUGAGAGGGCACACGGCCACACUGGCACUGAAACACGGGCCAGACUCCUACGGGAGGCAGCAGUGGGGAAUCUUGCACAAUGGGGGCAACCCCUGAUGCAGCGACGCCGCGUGAGCGAUGAAGCUCCUCGGAGUGUAAAGCUCUUUCGGCAGGGAAGAUUAUGACGGUACCUGCAGAAGCAGCUGCGGCUAACUACGUGCCAGCAGCCGCCGUAAU